RNAcentral lists this transfer RNA (82 nucleotides) under Corynoplastis japonica. RNAcentral's name for it is "tRNA-Leu". It matches the Rfam family "tRNA". From Rfam's summary of the family: Transfer RNA (tRNA) molecules are approximately 80 nucleotides in length. The record is from RNAcentral. Lineage: Eukaryota; Rhodophyta; Rhodellophyceae; Rhodellales; Rhodellaceae.
GCGGAUGUGGUGAAAUUGGUAGACGCGUUAGAUUUAGGUUCUAGUGAUAUAUAUCGUGAGAGUUCAAGUCUCUCCAUCCGCA